RNAcentral lists this ribosomal RNA (385 nucleotides) under uncultured bacterium. RNAcentral's name for it is "bacterial SSU rRNA". It matches the Rfam family "Bacterial small subunit ribosomal RNA", at positions 790 to 1167 of the family's 1533-position model. The record is from RNAcentral.
GUAGUCCACGCCGUAAACGUUGGGCGCUAGGUGUGGGGACUGUUUCCACGGUCUCCGUGCCGGAGCUAACGCAUUAAGCGCCCCGCCUGGGGAGUACGGCCGCAAGGCUAAAACUCAAAGGAAUUGACGGGGGCCCGCACAAGCGGCGGAGCAUGCGGCUUAAUUCGAUGCAACGCGAAGAACCUUACCAGGGCUUGACAUGCACGGUGCAGCCGUAGAGAUACGGUGUCCUUUGGGGUCGUGCACAGGUGGUGCAUGGUUGUCGUCAGCUCGUGUCGUGAGAUGUUGGGUUAAGUCCCGCAACGAGCGCAACCCUCGUCCUGUAUUGCCAGCAGCAUCUUCGGAUGGCUGGGGACUUGCGGGAGACUGCCGGGGUCAACUCGGA